Molecule: long non-coding RNA, 337 nt
Filed under: Mytilus galloprovincialis (Mediterranean mussel)
Lineage: Eukaryota; Metazoa; Mollusca; Bivalvia; Mytilida; Mytilidae
Source: RNAcentral
UGCCCUUUUCCGACCCUAUGUUUUGAAACAGGGUAGGUAGGUAGGUAAAAUAUUUUAUUUUUUCCCCCAAAAAAAUAACUUGGCUCGGUAUAUUAUUUGUCAUGGGUAGGCAGGUAGGUAAAAUAUUUUAUUUUAUAAAUACAAAAUCUGCAUAAUGUCAUUUUUUUCUGUUUUGUUUUUGCAAAUAAGUUUUCCGCUGGGACUAUUAGUUUUGAAAAAAAAAUAUAUAAGAGAUAACUUUGUACUGGUAAGAUAAUGUCCGGGCACACAUAUAUUACUAGUAGAAAAAGUCCCUAGAGUGUUACAAAUUUCGUGUGUGCCUUUUUUCCAAUAAAAA